Molecule: ribosomal RNA, 490 nt
Filed under: uncultured bacterium
Lineage: Bacteria
Description: partial 16S ribosomal RNA
Rfam family: Bacterial small subunit ribosomal RNA
Source: RNAcentral
AUUGAACGCUGGCGGCAGGCCUAACACAUGCAAGUCGAACGGUAACAGGAAGACGCUUGCUUCUUUGCUGACGAGUGGCGGACGGGUGAGUAAUGUCUGGGAAACUGCCUGAUGGAGGGGGAUAACUACUGGAAACGGUAGCUAAUACCGCAUAACGUCGCAAGACCAAAGAGGGGGACCUUCGGGCCUCUUGCCAUCGGAUGUGCCCAGAUGGGAUUAGCUAGUAGGUGGGGUAACGGCUCACCUAGGCGACGAUCCCUAGCUGGUCUGAGAGGAUGACCAGCCACACUGGAACUGAGACACGGUCCAGACUCCUACGGGAGGCAGCAGUGGGGAAUAUUGCACAAUGGGCGAAAGCCUGAUGCAGCCAUGCCGCGUGUAUGAAGAAGGCCUUCGGGUUGUAAAGUACUUUCAGCGGGGAGGAAGGGAGUAAAGUUAAUACCUUUGCUCACUGACGUUACCCGCAGAAGAAGCACCGGCUAACUCCGUG